Molecule: ribosomal RNA, 501 nt
Filed under: uncultured bacterium
Lineage: Bacteria
Description: partial 16S ribosomal RNA
Rfam family: Bacterial small subunit ribosomal RNA
Source: RNAcentral
AUUGAACGCUGGCGGCAGGCUUAACACAUGCAAGUCGAGCGGAGCGAGGGUGCUUGCACCUUAGCUUAGCGGCGGACGGGUGAGUAAUGCUUAGGAAUCUGCCUAUUAGUGGGGGACAACAUUCCGAAAGGAAUGCUAAUACCGCAUACGCCCUACGGGGGAAAGCAGGGGAUCUUCGGACCUUGCGCUAAUAGAUGAGCCUAAGUCGGCUUAGCUAGUUGGUGGGGUAAAGGCCUACCAAGGCGACGAUCUGUAGCGGGUCUGAGAGGAUGAUCCGCCACACGUGGACUGAGACACGGCCCAGACUCCUACGGGAGGCAGCAGUGGGGAAUAUUGGACAAUUGGCGGAAGCCUAAUCCAGCCAUGCCGCGUGUGUGAAGAAGGCCUUUUGGUUGUAAAGCACUUUAAGCGAGGAGGAGGCUACUUAGAUUAAUACUCUGGGAUAGUGGACGUUACUCGCAGAAUAAGCACCGGCUAACUCUGUGCCAGCCGCCGCGGUAA